This is a non-coding RNA of Camelina sativa (false flax), 512 nucleotides long. The record is from RefSeq and is a predicted model, not a curated record. Lineage: Eukaryota; Viridiplantae; Streptophyta; Magnoliopsida; Brassicales; Brassicaceae.
GGGUCGAAGUUUUACAUCUUUCUUGAGCUUGUAACCAAAUGGUCUCUUCUAAACCUUUACCAACAUUACCCGCUUCUGGACUCUGUAGUCUCCAAUUACACAAGACAGAUUCUUGAUGGGACAUCAACUGUGCAAAUAUACUGGUGGAAGCUAAUGGCAACGUCAAACUUGCGGAUUUCGGAUUGGCAAAGGAGUCAAAGUUAAACGACAUUAAGUCCUGCAAGGGAACUUCAGUUUGGAUGGCUCCGGAGGUAAUUGAUUUGGGAUCCUUCCCACUGUUUUGAUUGUGUGAAUACAAUGAAAGACAAACGUCUCAUUCAGGAAUAGCAAUGUUGGAUGUUGUACUGUUGUAAUGUUGGAUGCUAUACUGUUGCUUAACACACAUCCCCCACCCAUGUUUCCUUCAGAGUUUUGAGUAUUUGAUUAAAUUUCCUGUAUUUCGGUUUAUGGUGUUUAUAACUGUAAAUAUGUUUGUGUAAUCACAGAUAAUUUGGAUUUUUUCCACUUUGAUU